GUUGUUGCAGUUAAAAAGCUCGUAGUUGAAUUUCGGAAUCAAUGUUUCGGUCAUGCCGUUGGUAUGUACUGAUAUUAUUGAUUUCUCACCUUCUAAAGAACCGUAAUGCCAUUAAUUUGGUGUCACGGGGAAUUAGGACUGUUACCUUGAAAAAAUUAGAGUGUUUAAAGCAGGCUCACGCUUGAAUACAUUAGCAGGGAAUAAUGAAAUAGGACAUCCGAUUCUAUUUUGUUGGUUUCUAGGAUCGAUGUAAUGAUUGAUAGGGAUAGUUGGGGGCAUUAGUAUUCAAUUGUCAGAGGUGAAAUUCUUGGAUUUAUUGAAGACUAACUACUGCGAAAGCAUUUGCCAAGGAUGUUUUCAUUAAUCAAGAACGAAAGUUAGGGGAUCGAAGACGAUCAGAUACCGUCGUAGUCUUAACCAUAAACUAUGCCGACUAGGGAUCGGAUGAUGUUAAUUUUUUAAUGACUCAUUCGGCGCCUUACGGGAAAC
Molecule: ribosomal RNA, 489 nt
Filed under: uncultured Glomeraceae
Lineage: Eukaryota; Fungi; Glomeromycota; Glomeromycetes; Glomerales; Glomeraceae
Description: SSU rRNA
Rfam family: Eukaryotic small subunit ribosomal RNA
Source: RNAcentral